RNAcentral lists this non-coding RNA (26 nucleotides) under Cricetulus griseus (Chinese hamster). The record is from RNAcentral. Lineage: Eukaryota; Metazoa; Chordata; Mammalia; Rodentia; Cricetidae.
UCAUGAACUGUUACUCUCAACAUGGG